GAUAGCUAAAAAUAAUUGCUGGAUUUAAUGUUGGAUUAGUAAUGAAUCUAAUAUCUCCUCCCCCAGGAGCCCAUGUAUCAUAAAUUCCACCUAUAAAUAGUGCUUUAAUAACUAACAAAAAUGCUCCAAUACCUAGCAAUAUCAAGUGAAUUCCUAGUAUUGUUGUCAUUUUAUUUUUAUCUCUCCA
Molecule: antisense RNA, 187 nt
Filed under: Cyanidium caldarium
Lineage: Eukaryota; Rhodophyta; Bangiophyceae; Cyanidiales; Cyanidiaceae
Description: Antisense RNA which regulates isiA expression
Rfam family: Antisense RNA which regulates isiA expression
Source: Rfam by way of RNAcentral